GAUGAAGAACGCAGCGAAAUGCGAUAAGUAGUGUGAAUUGCAGAAUUCAGUGAAUCAUCGAAUCUUUGAACGCACAUUGCGCCCCUUGGUAUCCCGAGGGGCAUGCCUGUUCGAGCGUCAUUUCACCACUCAAGCCUGGCUUGGUGUUGGGCGACGUCCCCUUUGGGGACGCGCCUCGAAACGCUCGGCGGCGUGGCGCCGGCUUUAAGAGUAGCAGAAUCUUUCGCUUUGGAAGUCGGGGCCCCGUCUGCCGGAAGACCUACUCGCAAGGUUGACCUCGGAUCAGGCAGGGAUACCCGCUGAACUUAAGCAUAUCAAUAAGCGGAGGA
Molecule: unclassified non-coding RNA, 329 nt
Filed under: soil metagenome
Description: partial contains 5.8S ribosomal RNA, internal transcribed spacer 2, and large subunit ribosomal RNA
Rfam family: 5.8S ribosomal RNA (bases 1-120)
Source: RNAcentral